CAGGUUUGGCACAGUGCGCAACCCGAAAACAUGUAACCUGAAGCAUCAGUAACCUGAGGUACCACUGUAAUUGGAUUGCUCUUUUAAUCCUGUGGUACUUGUUUGGCAGUCAGGUCCAUUGGAAUUAACAGGAGUUCUUUCAAGCCUCAGCUCUUUAUCGAAAUGAUGUGUGUUGUGGAAUCCAUAUACUAUUUAAACCAGCCUUGUGACAUGCAGAGGUUCCAUUUGACAUGUUGGUUACUGGUCCCCAAACCUCCACAGGCUGCAACUUCAAGAAUUGCCAAGAAGGGAGAACCUUCCUUGUUAAAUCUUUUCCCAUCUCAGUGUUGAAGUGACAGCAGAAACCAACCUGGUUUUUCAGUGCAAUCAUACACAUCUCUGCGCAGAAAUGAGUUCUAUUCAGUGGCAGUUCACAUGCCCUUGAAAAUGUGAAUAAUAAGGUGAGGCACCCUUUGAAUAUGUGCAGAGAUAUUUCAUUCAUCGCUGAGUAACUGCAGCCAGUCCCCAUACACACACACAUUCCUGGAAGUAAGGUUAACAUUAUUGCGUGUGUUUUCCAGCUAAUCUAGAAUGCUGUUGCCUCAUUUUUAAAUGUUCUGUGCUAUCUCUAGAUUGAUCUUACUAUUAGGCAAUGUGAGGUAAUUCACCCCAGGCAGCACCCAUGAAAGGGUAUCCUUUCUUUCUUUCUUUCUUUCUUUCUUUCUUUCUUUCAUUUAUUUUUGCCACCAUGUGAGGCCUCUCACUUGGUUGUUUUGCUUGAAGCAUCAAAAUGUCUUAAACUGCCUCCUCAGCAUCUCAGAAAUCUGUUUCAAGUAUUGUGCAAUUACAUGUAGUAAGCCACCUGCUUGUAAAUGAGCGUCUUUGGUGUGUUCUAUGCAAUUUCUUAUCAUACAGCAGAAUUUUAAAGCUGAGUUUUGUUAUUUUAUUUUUUUUAAAUCCUUGCCUUCCAAACCAAUAGGCAAGAAAGUGGGAGAAAACGCAAAAGAGACAGCAACCCCAAGAACAUGCUGCAUCCGAAAAUGGCCAUCAGGCUUCCUUGUUCCCAUCCAUAUAAGUGUUUAGUAGAUCACAUUAAAACUGAGCAACUUGCCCCACUUCAAAUCUA
Non-coding RNA from Podarcis lilfordi (Lilford's wall lizard), 1105 nucleotides. The record is from the annotation of a GenBank genome assembly. Lineage: Eukaryota; Metazoa; Chordata; Lepidosauria; Squamata; Lacertidae.